UCCGGUGGCGGCUAGGGUCGGCGCUGAUGCUCGUUGGCGGCGGAGCUCAAGGAGGUGCGCAGCCGCCUCGCUCAGGAGCAGCCCGUCGUCCGUACGUCGCUUCUCAGGAGCUGGUGCGCAGCCGCCCCAUCUGCUGCUGCUCGGUCCAACCGGCGAUGAUGCUGAUCGGCGAGCUCUCUCGGCGAUGAGGCGGAGCGGCGACUGCUGCUGGAUCGGCGAUGAGGCGGAUCGGCGAUGAAUCUCGACUUUUCUACUACUGCUGCUGGAUCUCUCUCCAGCCUCUCCGCCACGCCGAUCCUGACUGGAGGCGCUGCUGGAAUGAGGAGCUGCUGGAGGCGCUGUGGAGGCGCUGCUGGAGGCGCUGCUCUCGUUCCAAGUCAGAGAUGAACAGUAGAGAGGCGAAUGAAAGUCAGAGAUGAACAGUAGAGAGGCGCUGCUCUC
RNAcentral lists this long non-coding RNA (441 nucleotides) under Salvia miltiorrhiza (redroot sage). Its description in RNAcentral is "long non-coding RNA (SMIL_LNC006706)". Lineage: Eukaryota; Viridiplantae; Streptophyta; Magnoliopsida; Lamiales; Lamiaceae. The record is from RNAcentral.